UAGAUGGGUAUCCCUACAUAGCGGGUGGGACCCACGGCAAAUGGUUCAUCAAGUCUUCAAAAAAGAAUAUAUACGAUUGCAUUGCAUAUACUAACGGAUGCGAUCAUGCCAGCACUAAUGCACCGGAUCCCAUCAGAACUCCGCAGUCAAGCGUGCUUGGGCGAGAGUAGUACUAGGAUGGGUGACCUCCCGGGAAGUCCUCGUGUUGCAUCUCCUUUUACGUUUAACCUUUUUUUUUUUU
This 241-nucleotide ribosomal RNA is filed under the name Arabidopsis thaliana (thale cress). Lineage: Eukaryota; Viridiplantae; Streptophyta; Magnoliopsida; Brassicales; Brassicaceae. The record is from RNAcentral.